GGGAGGAUAAUUAGAAAAUCAUCAGCAUAGACUACAUCGAUCCCUUCUUUUUGGUGUAGAUACCGCUUAAAGCAGAAAACGUCCCGUCUUACAUCAGUAAUCGCUACGUUGAGGCAUCGUUGUUUACGGAUGCCUGACUGAUGUAAGACGGGAUUUUUUCCGCUUUAAUUCCACUUUUAUUACUGAUGUAAGACGGGAUGUUUUCCGCUUUGAGCGGUGUCUGCGCCAAAAAGAAGGGAUUUUAUUGGGACCUUGCUGGAGAGGGGUCUGAUGCCCAACCAAAUGAUGCAGGUGCUGGAUUUUGGGUCUCUUUGCCCCUCGAUACGAUUGGAACCGGCCUGUCUUUUUCUUUGUCGCUUCAUGUUGGAGCGCCUACCUGAAGAGUGCUGCGAUCCGGAACUGAUGCGAGCUUUAUGCCAUUUGGUGGUGCACCAGUCAUACUUUGUUUUCGGUGGCGGGAUUUAUAUACAGACGCGUGGGGUCCCUAUGGGCAGCCCCGUGGCUGGGGUGCUGGCGGAAUUGGUGGUGCGUUGUGGGGAGU
Molecule: long non-coding RNA, 541 nt
Filed under: Androctonus crassicauda
Lineage: Eukaryota; Metazoa; Arthropoda; Arachnida; Scorpiones; Buthidae
Source: RNAcentral